This 496-nucleotide ribosomal RNA is filed under the name uncultured bacterium. RNAcentral's name for it is "partial 16S ribosomal RNA". It matches the Rfam family "Bacterial small subunit ribosomal RNA", at positions 29 to 507 of the family's 1533-position model. The record is from RNAcentral.
AUGCACGCUGGCGGCGUGCCUAAUACAUGCAAGUCGAGCGAACAGAUCAGGAGCUUGCUCCUUUGACGUUAGCGGCGGACGGGUGAGUAACACGUGGAUAACCUACCUAUAAGACUGGGAUAACUUCGGGAAACCGGAGCUAAUACCGGAUAACAUAUUGAACCGCAUGGUUCAAUAGUGAAAGGCGGCUUUGCUGCCACUUAUAGAUGGAUCCGCGCCGUAUUAGCUAGUUGGUAAGGUAACGGCUUACCAAGGCAACGAUACGUAGCCGACCUGAGAGGGUGAUCGGCCACACUGGAACUGAGACACGGUCCAGACUCCUACGGGAGGCAGCAGUAGGGAAUCUUCCGCAAUGGGCGAAAGCCUGACGGAGCAACGCCGCGUGAGUGAUGAAGGUCUUCGGAUCGUAAAACUCUGUUAUCAGGGAAGAACAAAUGUGUAAGUAACUGUGCACAUCUUGACGGUACCUGAUCAGAAAGCCACGGCUAACUACGUG